This 465-nucleotide ribosomal RNA is filed under the name uncultured bacterium. RNAcentral's name for it is "partial 16S ribosomal RNA". It matches the Rfam family "Bacterial small subunit ribosomal RNA", at positions 338 to 795 of the family's 1533-position model. The record is from RNAcentral.
CCUACGGGUGGCAGCAGUAGGGAAUCUUCCACAAUGGGCGCAAGCCUGAUGGAGCAACACCGCGUGAGUGAAGAAGGGUUUCGGCUCGUAAAGCUCUAUUGGUGGGGAAGAACGUGCGUGAGAGUAACUGUUCACGCAGUGACGGUAUCCAACCAGAAAGUCACGGCUAACUACGUGGCAGCAGCCGCGGUAAUACGUAGGUGGCAAGCAUUAGCCGGAUUUAUUGGGCGUAAAGGGAGCGCAGGCGGUUGCUUAGGUCAGAUGUGAAAGCCUUGGGCUUAACCGAGGAAGUGCAUCGGAAAACGGGCAACUGGAGUGCAGAAGAGGACAGUGGAACUCCAGGUGUAGCGGUGGAAUGCGUAGAUAUAUGGAAGAACACCAGUGGCGAAGGCGGCUGUCUGGUCUGCAACUGACGCUGAGGCUCGAAAGCAUGGGUAGCGAACAGGAUUAGAUACCCCAGUAGUC